ACAUGCAAGUCGAGCGAACGGACGAGAAGCUUGCUUCUCUGAUGUUAGCGGCGGACGGGUGAGUAACACGUGGAUAACCUACCUAUAAGACUGGGAUAACUUCGGGAAACCGGAGCUAAUACCGGAUAAUAUUUUGAACCGCAUGGUUCAAAAGUGAAAGACGGUCUUGCUGUCACUUAUAGAUGGAUCCGCGCUGCAUUAGCUAGUUGGUAAGGUAACGGCUUACCAAGGCAACGAUGCAUAGCCGACCUGAGAGGGUGAUCGGCCACACUGGAACUGAGACACGGUCCAGACUCCUACGGGAGGCAGCAGUAGGGAAUCUUCCGCAAUGGGCGAAAGCCUGACGGAGCAACGCCGCGUGAGUGAUGAAGGUCUUCGGAUCGUAAAACUCUGUUAUUAGGGAAGAACAUAUGUGUAAG
RNAcentral lists this ribosomal RNA (419 nucleotides) under Vibrio parahaemolyticus. Its description in RNAcentral is "bacterial SSU rRNA". It matches the Rfam family "Bacterial small subunit ribosomal RNA", at positions 53 to 461 of the family's 1533-position model. The record is from RNAcentral. RNAcentral also lists the same sequence under 1 other name. Lineage: Bacteria; Pseudomonadati; Pseudomonadota; Gammaproteobacteria; Vibrionales; Vibrionaceae.